AUAUUUUGAAGAUUAAAUUAUGAAAGGUAAUGCAUGUACACAGUAGAGUCACACAUCAUUUCAACUCGUCAAUUUAUCUGCAGGAUCAUUGCUGAGACAUGGAGUGAGGGAGAGAUUUAUGUGAGGAUCUACACAGCAAGGAAGAGCAUAAGAAACAUAAGUGAGAAAUCUGCCUCUCAGAACUGAAAAUGUGACCUGAAAUACAUUCGCAUCAGCAUUGAAGCAUCUUCAAGUAAGAAACUGUGACUUUAAGAGAACUUUUUUAUUAAUCUGCUAUUCCUGCGUGCUGGUCCUCAGUGGAGAAUGUCGCUGUGCUGAGCCAGGGAGAAAGAGCAAAGAAAGUGGGAUUAGAGACGGAUCAGCAUCCUUGAGUCACAGCACUUUGUGAGAUGUAGACUGCAUAGCCUGCAGAGUCAGUAAAAUCCCAGGAAAUUACUGAGAAAGCUGACUGCUAGAAUUGUGUUUCAUAAUAAAAUAAUCUUACUGAAAUUAAUCA
This 496-nucleotide long non-coding RNA is filed under the name Vulpes vulpes (red fox). RNAcentral describes it as "lncRNA (ENSVVUG00000026342.1)". The record is from RNAcentral. Lineage: Eukaryota; Metazoa; Chordata; Mammalia; Carnivora; Canidae.